RNAcentral lists this unclassified non-coding RNA (390 nucleotides) under soil metagenome. RNAcentral describes it as "partial contains 5.8S ribosomal RNA, internal transcribed spacer 2, and large subunit ribosomal RNA". The stretch from base 3 to 121 matches the Rfam family "5.8S ribosomal RNA", at positions 38 to 154 of the family's 154-position model. The record is from RNAcentral.
GAGAAGAACGCAGCGAAAUGCGAUACUUGGUGUGAAUUGCAGAAUCCCGUGAACCAUCGAGUCUUUGAACGCAAGUUGCGCCCGAAGCCACUAGGCCGAGGGCACGCCUGCCUGGGCGUCACACGUCGUUGCCCCCCCAUCUACUCCUUCGGGAUUGCGGGGGGGCGGAUGAUGGCCUCCCGUGCGCCUAGCCGCGCGGUUGGCAUAAAUACCAAGUCCUCGGCGACGCACGCCACGACAAUCGGUGGUUGCGAAACCUCGGUUGCCCGUCGUGUGCGUUCGUCGCGCAUCGAGGGCUCGAAAAAAUGCUCGGCUUCGGCUCGGCUUUCAACGCGACCCCAGGUCAGGCGGGGUUACCCGCUGAAUUUAAGCAUAUCAAUAAGCGGAGGA